CGCCCACUUCAUCUCCAGGCUACAGCCUAUCAUCCCCUGGAUACAGUCCUACUUCUCCCGGUUACAGUCCCACUUCACCUGGAUAUAGCCCGACUUCUCCCGGUUAUAGUCCCACUUCACCAACCUACAGCCCCAGUUCUCCUGGCUAUAGCCCAACAAGCCCUGCUUAUUCUCCUACAAGUCCUUCCUAUUCUCCCACCUCUCCUAGCUACAGCCCAACAUCUCCAAGCUAUAGCCCAACGUCCCCGAGCUACAGCCCGACAUCACCGAGCUACAGCCCCACUUCUCCGAGUUACAGCCCGACAUCGCCUGCUUAUAGCCCGACCUCGCCCGCGUAUAGCCCGACUUCACCUGCAUACAGCCCGACCUCUCCUUCUUACAGCCCAACAUCACCAUCUUACAGCCCAACAUCACCUUCUUACAGUCCUACUUCACCCUCCUACAGUCCCACUUCACCUUCUUACAGUCCUACUUCACCCGCAUACAGCCCUACGUCUCCUGGCUACAGCCCAACUUCACCAAGCUACAGCCCAACAUCACCUAGUUACGGUCCUACGUCUCCAAGCUACAACCCUCAGUCUGCUAAAUACAGCCCAUCUCUGGCUUACUCUCCUAGCAAUGCAAGACUAUCGCCAGCUAGCCCCUACAGUCCUACAUCUCCA
Molecule: long non-coding RNA, 662 nt
Filed under: Eutrema salsugineum
Lineage: Eukaryota; Viridiplantae; Streptophyta; Magnoliopsida; Brassicales; Brassicaceae
Description: long non-coding RNA (ESAL_LNC002027)
Source: RNAcentral